UACAGAGGUCCCAAGCGUUGUUCGGAUUCACUGGGCGUAAAGGGUGCGUAGGUGGUGAGGUAAGUCGGAUGUGAAAUCUCCGAGCUCAACUCGGAAAUGGCAUUGGAAACUACCUUGCUCGAGGGUUGGAGGGGGACUGGAAUGCUUGGUGUAGCAGUGAAAUGCGUAGAUAUCAAGCGGAACACCAGUGGCGAAGGCGAGUCCCUGGACAACUCCUGACACUGAGGCACGAAAGCUAGGGGAGCAAACAGG
RNAcentral lists this ribosomal RNA (252 nucleotides) under uncultured bacterium. Its description in RNAcentral is "partial 16S ribosomal RNA". It matches the Rfam family "Bacterial small subunit ribosomal RNA", at positions 524 to 776 of the family's 1533-position model. The record is from RNAcentral.